Molecule: transfer RNA, 23 nt
Filed under: Opuntia microdasys (bunny ears cactus)
Lineage: Eukaryota; Viridiplantae; Streptophyta; Magnoliopsida; Caryophyllales; Cactaceae
Description: partial tRNA-Arg
Source: RNAcentral
GGGCCUGUAGCUCAGAGGAUUAG